UUGCAGCUCGCUUGCUGUUGUUAGCUAUAUCUUUGAAAAUAACUUGUGUGUGUGUGAAACGUUGUUGCAUUUAAACUUCAGAUCAAUGGUGACUUUGUGGUGGGCUGAACAUGAAAAAUAUAUUUGCAGUGGGAAGUAAUGGUUGUAAAUUUAGAUUGGGAAACGCUUAGCCUAAUGGUUGUAUAUUUGUAUUCUUAUGAUUGGGGCCUACUGGCUUAUUAUGUCCGAGUGAAUGGGCUGCUUAUCUUUUAACAUCAUGCUAUGUGUGACUGUUGUCUUUCUAUCGGCCCUGUGUGUUUCACAAAACGUGCGCUCUCCUACAUGCGGUACGCUGCACAUUACGGUCACUGUCCUUUCAGCAUCAUCAGCCUGUCACAUUAACAUCCUAUGACGUGUCACUGUUGUUGAAUUGGUGAGAGUGUGAUAGUGAUGGCGUUAGGCUCCAAUAGGUUGUGUAAGCAGUGUGGUUGUUGUUGCUGAUAGCAUUUUCAGUGCAGGUGCUGUCUCUGUGUGAGUGGCAGCCCAAAGUGUGGUUCAGCCUCAGGCAUGUUUUAUUCAGUUGUGCGCAUUAAGUGAUGCUAUGUUGAUUUUUGAGUUUGAUACAAGGUGUUGGAAGAGUUUCUUCCCCACUGAAGGCCUAGGUACUAUAGCCAAGGUUCACCGCGGCUGUGUUUUGUGGUUCUAUGUUGUUAGAAACCUAUGAAUAUAGAUAUGCACAUCCCACUACAGUAGGUCAACGUUUGAACAAAAAUAGAAAAUAAAGGAUUUUACUGUAUGUAUUACGUUAUAGCCUAGGUAAGUAUACUCCCACACAACAACAAAGCAUUUCAGAAAUAGACCAUAUUUUAUCCUCAUCAGAUUGUCCCUUAAGGAAAAAACACAUGAAUUUCACAUGUGAUCAUGUGUUUCACAAACUGUUCAAAGGCACAUAAAUCUUUUUCCUUGCCCAUUUACCCUCUGAAUGGCACACAUACACAAUCCAUGUCUCAAUUAUCUGAAAGUUUAAAAAUCCUUCUUUAACCUGACUCCUCCCCUUCAUCUACACUGAUUGAAGUGGGUUUAAUAGGUGACAUCAAUAAGCAGUGGUGACCAGUCAUUCAGGGCAGGUGUGGCAGAGCAAUGUAAAAAAACGAUGUGAAAGAAAUUGCAUUAAUAAAGCCCCACCUGUCCUCAUUUUUACUUUCAUGAGUAAGGCAGCUCCAAAAUGCAGCUGUUUCAGCCUAGCUCAGUGAUAAAACGUAUCGGUGCCCAUCGGCCAUCAGCCAUAAACAUUACACAACAAGUUGGAAAUCGCUAAUUCAACAAUGAGUAGUGUGGAAGGAGUCAGUGGCUAUCUGCAAGCGCUACAAAGCAGUGACUAGCCUGCUAUUUGGUGGAGAGGGUGUAUGGUCCAAGUCUGGCUUUAAGUGUCUCUUUUCACAGGUUAAAAGGAUAAACAUUCACAUUCAACACAAUAGGCCAGAAAAGGUUGAAUACAUUGGCCAUGCUGUCUAUGAAGGAUGACUCCUGCCACAUUCAAAACAACUGGAAACUCAGAUCUGGGAAAUCUCAGACUUCAUUUUCUUCAAAGCACCAAGAGAAUGACAGAUUCUGAUGACAAAGUUUGAUGACAAAAUGUGUCCACAAGAAGGAGCGGCGCGCCACCUCACAAGAUGGACCACCCUGAGGCAGGGCCCUGAGUAGAGGGACCUGUGAGAAGGUGGAACUGCCAUAGGACUGAGAUCAGCUGAUGAUUGUCUGCAGCUGGCUUUGAUCGUAGUGUAAUGACACAGGCAGAGAGCGUGAGUAGUCGAAGAACCACCAACCUUCUGGCCCGUAACCAUGUGUGGCAUCAAACUGCCACUACAAAAACAUGCUGUAGUGGCAACGUCGAUAUCCACAUUUAUAAGCACAAGUGCCGGGGUCAGCAAAGCUCCCAAGUGACCAGCGACAGGGCCAACAGCCAACUGACUGCCUACUCUACUCUGACCUCCCUUCAUUAGUAACCCCCUCCCUGGGCUUCUCCUCAGACCUGGGGCUGCUGGGGGGACCUAUUUGUGGUCCUCCACUCGUCUGAGGGGAAGGGGAUAGCGGGAUAGAGACUGAAGGAACAACAGCUGCUGAUGGGGACAUCACGCUUCCCAUGGAAGAGCAGCAUCCUCCUGAGAGAAGGUGCUGUAAUCUGCAGGAAUCGAAUUCUCAGUCAUACAUGAUAGCCACAGUAUGUCUCGAAGCCACAUUGUAUGUGAGUGAACACAUGACGUUGAACAUAUUGACACAUGACGUUGUGUGAUCUGUAUUGUAUUUACAAAAACAAUCAACAGUGCAAGUCACAUGAUGAUCUUACACGGAAAGCUCUUGAAAACUUUCACAGACACACAAAAACAUAGAGAUAUUAAAGUCGUUAUACAAGCAGUGUUAAAUGGACAAAGUGUAAUUAAAUGUACUUUGUGUUCAGAGAAUCUGCUGGGGUGCCAGAGGAAUGCAAAGAAUUGUAGGCACUUUUUUCUGAGACGGUAUAGUGAUGCCAUCAUAAGUUGCAAUGGGAAACAUUUACACACAGCAAACAACCCAGUGGGUUCACUAGUAGCAAUACAAGGUGACAUCAUCUGUCUGAUAAACAGUCUUGUGUCUGUUUAAUAAUUUAUUUAAUAAGGUGUUAUUUACUUAACUGACUUGAUUUUGAGUGAAUCUGGAUUCUGCUUAUUCCACAUAUUUAACUUGGUUUAAAAUAAUCAUACAUGUAUGAAAAAAGUCAACCAUCCUAAAUUGGUUUAGACAUGAUUCUUCUGCCCCCUGGCUGUGGAUAUAGAGAAAUAUAAUGUCUCCUAUUGCCAUGGAAGUGUUUGUCUUAACCAAUAUAUCCGUUAAACAAUGUAAACUACGGUUUGGUGCCAUUAUUGCUUAAGCAAUCUCUAUUUGGCACAACAUUUGAAAACAAUGUAACUGAGAAUCAAAAUGGCAUGCCCAUACUUCAAUGUUUCACUAUAACGCCUUGCGAUCUUUGAGAGUAGCCUUUUGCAUUCCCCCCCAAUAGUGCAAAUGUGGAAUCUGUAUCCUUGCCGUUAUCAAGGACAGUAAUGGUUUGAGAACACUCCAAAAUUUGAAAGGCACAUUACAGGCAACUCCUUUUUUUCUAUAUGUACAACUUAGGUCAACUAUGCUGGUCUAGAGUCCCUUGGGAGACCCAACUACUGAACCUGGACUCCCAAAGGGGCUGAUCUCUAUACUAUAUAAACAACUUUUUGAAAGCUCAUAUUCUGAGCGAGCCAUUCAAAUGAUUAUGGUCCACAGAUCUAAGUGAAUAUGAACAACCCUUUAACUCGAACAGAAUAUGAAAAAUAUGACUUUGGCAUCCCAUAAUCCGAACCAUCACCUUAUACAUUGAAGUUUGUUAACAGAUUGUAUUUAACACCAAUGAAACAUUUUAAGAUGAAAUUUGCCCCGACUGUUCACUGUGUCCCCUAAAUCAGGUAGGCACAUUCCUUCAUAGGAUGUGUGAUUGCCCUGCAGUUAAAUGCUUCUGGGUCAAAGUUACUCCAUUUCAAAGUGCAUGAAUGUAAAUAUUCAAUGCUUUGCAUCUACUAUGUUACUUAAUGACUCAAUAAAUCAGAGACAAUUACUGCUGUCAGGCAGCACUGCCAGAAAGAAAGAUGUUGGCUCUUAUAUGGCAUUCACCUCACUCUCUCCCAAUUCGCCAGUGGAUACAGUUACUAUUAUUACUAUUAAGUUAUAACAUUAGAAUUAUCAACAGUGAGAAUGAAUGGUACGUGACAAAGAACAAUUGAGGCCUUGAAAAAUAUACUUGACUCUGUAAACCUUUGCUCCUUUAACAACCUCCACUGUUCUGGGAAGGCUUUCCACUAGAUGUUGGAACAUUGCUGCGGGGACUUGCUUCCAAUCAGCCACGAGACCAUUAGUGUGGUCGGGCACUGAUGUAGGGCUAUUGGGCCUGUCUCGCAGUCAGCGUUCCAAUUCAUCCCAAAGGUGUUUGAUGGGGUUGAGAUCAAGGCUCUGUGCUGGCCAGUCAAGGUCUUCUUGACAAACCAUUUCUGUAUGGACCUCACUUUGUGCACAGGGGCAUUGUAAUGCUGAAACUGGAAAGGGCUUCCCCAAACUGUUGCCAUAAAGUUGGACACAGAAUCGUCUAGAAUGUCAUUGUA
Long non-coding RNA from Oncorhynchus gorbuscha (pink salmon), 4142 nucleotides. RefSeq lists it as uncharacterized. NCBI's taxonomy places the organism in Eukaryota, Metazoa, Chordata, Actinopteri, Salmoniformes, Salmonidae. The transcript is spliced from 5 exons. The record is from RefSeq and is a predicted model, not a curated record.